UUUAAUACAUUAAUUUUCUAUUUCAGAUUAUAAAUUCCUUGCUUACUCAUAGCAAAAAAUUUGAAACAUAAUUAUGUAAUAAUUGCCUUAAAUUUGUUCUUUAUUUUUCCUGUGUCAUCAGAGACUUGAUGUUAUUAUGGCAUUCUGUAACUAAAGUUAAAUAUUUUACUUUAACAGAAAACUCAUGUUAAUCCUCUUUUCCUAAAACAUCUUUCCAUAAACACAAAUUUUCUUCCCUUCCCCUUGUUUUGUCCUUUUCUUCUCUCAGAUUCUGUUUUUCUCUCUCUCUUAUACAGACACACACAGCUCACAGACACACAAAGUCAUUUUGUUACUAUAUAGUAGACGGAGUACUCAUUUUAAUUCCAGGGCAUAACCUAUUGUAUUAGUCAGGGUUUUCUAAAGGUGCAGAAGUAAUAGGAUAGAUGUGUAUAUGAAGGGGAGUUUAUAAAGGAGUGCUGACUCACACAAUCACAAGGUGAAGUCCCACAAUAGACCACCUGCAAGGUGAGGAGCAGGAAAGCCAGUCCAACUCCAAAAAACUCAAAAGUAGGGAAGCCAACAGUGCAGCCUUCAGUUUGUGGCUGAAGGCUUGGAAGCUCCUGGCAAACCACUGGUGUAAGUCCAAGAAUCCAAAAGCUGAAGAACCUGGAGUCCGAUGUUUGAGGGCAGGAAGCAUCCAGCAUGGGAGAAAGGUAAAAGCCUGAAGACUCAGAAAUUCAAGUCCUUCCACAUUCUUCUGCCUGCUUUAUUCUAGCCACACUGGCAGCUGAUUAGAUGGUGCCCACCCAGAUUGAAGGUGGGUCUGCCUCUCCUAGUCCACUGACUCAAAUGUUAAUCUCCUUUGGCAACACCCUCAUAGACACACCCAGGAACAAUAUUUUGCAUCCUUCAAUCCAAUCAAGUUGACACUCAAUAUUAACCAUCACACCUAUUAAUAACACUGGGUGCAUGUAUCAGGCAGCACCAUGUUAACUAAAGGCUUUGCUUUAAUCCCAUAAAGUCCUCACAGUAAUUCCAGGAGCAAACAUUAUUGUUCUUUUUUCACAGAUGAGGAAGAUGAAGCCCAGAGUGUUCCAGUGAUGGGCCUCGAUUCACUCAGCUUCAAAUCAGCCAGACUCCAAUGCGCAGGCUCAAUCAGUCAGACUUGGUAUUUGUCUUUCUGGAUCAUGCUGGGGUAUGAUUCUCAUUGCGGACAGAAUAACAACAAGAAGACCUUGAGAAUAAGCAUCCAUUUGUGAGCCCCAAGGGCGAAGAAGCUUUCCUGAAGCAACAACAGGAACAGGAAGCAAAAAGGAUUUGAAAUGAAAUAGCAAGGGUUUUUCCUCUUCUUUCAAAUGACCAAGAAUGGCCAUAAUCAAAAAAUAAAAAAAAAUAAUAGACGUUGAUGUGGAUGCAUUGAACAGUGAACACUUCUACACUGCUGUUGGGAAUGUAAACUAGUACAACCACUAUGGAAAACAGUGUGGAGAUUCCUCAAAGAACUAAAAUCUCACACUGUAGCUCAGGCUGGAGUGCAGUGGAGCGAUCUCAACUUACUGCCAGCUCCGCCUCCCGGGUUCAAGAGAGUCUUGUGCCUCAGCCUCAGUAGUAGCUGGGAUUACAGAUAGAGUACCAAAGGUAUAAUUUGAAGAGAGGAAACACAGUAACACUGCAUUUUUAUAUAAAAUAUGAUACCUUUUUAUUGGAAAAAUAACCAGCCAAAAAUUAAAAAAAAAAACAAUUCAUGUAUCUCAAA
Molecule: long non-coding RNA, 1738 nt
Organism: Gorilla gorilla gorilla (western lowland gorilla)
Lineage: Eukaryota; Metazoa; Chordata; Mammalia; Primates; Hominidae
Exons: 6
Source: RefSeq, a predicted model, not a curated record